Molecule: long non-coding RNA, 456 nt
Filed under: Bos taurus (domestic cattle)
Lineage: Eukaryota; Metazoa; Chordata; Mammalia; Artiodactyla; Bovidae
Description: long non-coding RNA NONBTAT026029
Source: RNAcentral
CUGUAUUCAAUUAUUCACAACGAAGGAGAGCCAUUAAAAUUAUGAACAUCUCUACAUAUGUUUCAUGUAUCGUACAUAUAUAAAUAUACUUUAAAUGUAUAGUUACAUAUCGACAAAAGUUUCUAGCCGCUCUAAGCUUGCAGGUAAAACAAAGAUUUUGUAAUGUAACACCUGUAUAUGCAUAUACACUGGCUGUUUGAAUUAUGAAUUUAUUUACAACUUGCCUAGUUUAUCAUAAAUGAUUAUUGUUAUAUUAUACAAACAGAAAAGAUUUCUUUUAAAUACAAAGACUGCAAAUGAAUACAUGAAAAAAUUACACACAUGUACUGUGGAUACAGAUCCAUUGAGUCUAAAAAUCAGCAUUAUUACGAGAUUCAUUGUAUUUUUGAUAUCCUGUAACCCAUAUGUCACUCCAGCAGCUUCCUGUCAGCAAGGAGAUUAUAGAUGCCUUGGCUA